CUACGGGGGGCACCAGUGGGGAAUAUUGCACAAUGGGCGCAAGCCUGAUGCAGCCAUGCCGCGUGUAUGAUGAAGGCCUUCGGGUUGUAAAGUACUUUCAGCGGGGAGGAAGGGAGUAAAGUUAAUACCUUUGCUCAUUGACGUUACCCGCAGAAGAAGCACCGGCUAACUCCGUGCCAGCAGCCGCGGUGAAUACGGAGGGUGCAAGCGUUAAUCGGAAUUACUGGGCGUAAAGCGCACGCAGGCGGUUUGUUAAGUCAGAUGUGAAAUCCCCGGGCUCAACCUGGGAACUGCAUCUGAUACUGGCAAGCUGGAGUCUCGUAGAGGGGGGUAGAAUUCCAGGUGUAGCGGUGAAAUGCGUAGAGAUCUGGAGGAAUACCGGUGGCGAAGGCGGCCCCCUGGACGAAGACUGACGCUCAGGUGCGAAAGCGUGGGGAGCAAACAGGAUUAGAUACCCGUGUAGUC
Molecule: ribosomal RNA, 465 nt
Filed under: uncultured bacterium
Lineage: Bacteria
Description: partial 16S ribosomal RNA
Rfam family: Bacterial small subunit ribosomal RNA
Source: RNAcentral